RNAcentral lists this ribosomal RNA (497 nucleotides) under uncultured bacterium. RNAcentral's name for it is "partial 16S ribosomal RNA". It matches the Rfam family "Bacterial small subunit ribosomal RNA", at positions 28 to 507 of the family's 1533-position model. The record is from RNAcentral.
GAUGAACGCUGGCGGCGUGCCUAAUACAUGCAAGUCGAGCGAACAGACGAGGAGCUUGCUCCUCUGACGUUAGCGGCGGACGGGUGAGUAACACGUGGAUAACCUACCUAUAAGACUGGGAUAACUUCGGGAAACCGGAGCUAAUACCGGAUAAUAUAUUGAACCGCAUGGUUCAAUAGUGAAAGACGGUUUUGCUGUCACUUAUAGAUGGAUCCGCGCCGCAUUAGCUAGUUGGUAAGGUAACGGCCUACCAAGGCAACGAUGCGUAGCCGACCUGAGAGGGUGAUCAGCCACACUGGAACUGAGACACGGUCCAGACUCCUACGGGAGGCAGCAGUAGGGAAUCUUCCGCAAUGGGCGAAAGCCUGACGGAGCAACGCCGCGUGAGUGAUGAAGGUCUUCGGAUCGUAAAACUCUGUUAUUAGGGAAGAACAAAUGUGUAAGUAACUAUGCACGUCUUGACGGUACCUAAUCAGAAAGCCACGGCUAACUACGUG